Molecule: ribosomal RNA, 484 nt
Filed under: uncultured bacterium
Lineage: Bacteria
Description: partial 16S ribosomal RNA
Rfam family: Bacterial small subunit ribosomal RNA
Source: RNAcentral
AUUGAACGCUGGCGGCAGGCCUAACACAUGCAAGUCGAGCGGAUGAAGGGAGCUUGCUCCUGGAUUCAGCGGCGGACGGGUGAGUAAUGCCUAGGAAUCUGCCUGGUAGUGGGGGAUAACGUCCGGAAACGGGCGCUAAUACCGCAUACGUCCUGAGGGAGAAAGUGGGGGAUCUUCGGACCUCACGCUAUCAGAUGAGCCUAGGUCGGAUUAGCUAGUUGGUGGGGUAAGGGCCUACCAAGGCGACGAUCCGUAACUGGUCUGAGAGGAUGAUCAGUCACACUGGAACUGAGACACGGUCCAGACUCCUACGGGAAGCAGCAGUGGGGAAUAUUGGACAAUGGGCGAAAGCCUGAUCCAGCCAUGCCGCGUGUGUGAAGAAGGUCUUCGGAUUGCAAAGCACUUUAAGUUGGGAGGAAGGGCAGUAAGUUAAUACCUUGCUGUUUUGACGUUACCAACAGAAUAAGCACCGGCUAACUUCGUG